RNAcentral lists this ribosomal RNA (253 nucleotides) under uncultured bacterium. Its description in RNAcentral is "partial 16S ribosomal RNA". It matches the Rfam family "Bacterial small subunit ribosomal RNA", at positions 524 to 776 of the family's 1533-position model. The record is from RNAcentral.
UACGUAGGGGGCAAGCGUUGUUCAGAAUUACUGGGCGUAAAGGGAGCGUAGGCGGAUAGUUUAGUCAGAGGUGAAAGCCCAGGGCUCAACCUUGGAAUUGCCUUUGAUACUGGCUAUCUUGAGUACGGAAGAGGUAUGUGGAACUCCGAGUGUAGAGGUGAAAUUCGUAGAUAUUCGGAAGAACACCAGUGGCGAAGGCGACAUACUGGUCCGUUACUGACGCUGAGGCUCGAAAGCGUGGGGAGCAAACAGG